AUGACGGUACCCGCAGAAUAAGCCCCGGCUAACUUCGUGCCAGCAGCCGCGGUAAUACGAAGGGGGCCAGCGUUGUUCGGAAUCACUGGGCGUAAAGCGUACGCAGGCGGAUUGAUAAGUCAGGGGUGAAAUCCCGGGGCUCAACCUCGGAAUUGCCUUUGAUACUGUCUGUCUCGAGUUCGGGAGAGGUUGGCGGAAUUCCUAGUGUAGAGGUGAAAUUCGUAGAUAUUAGGAAGAACACCAGUGGCGAAGGCCGCCAACUGGCCCGAUACUGACGCUCAUGUACGAAAGCGUGGGGAGCAAACAGGAUUAGAUACCCUGGUAGUCCACGCUGUAAACUAUGGAUGCUAGCCGUUGGGGAGCUUGCUCUUCAGUGGCGCAGCUAACGUCUUAAGCAUCCCGCCUGGGGAGUACGGUCCCAAGAUUAAAACUCA
RNAcentral lists this ribosomal RNA (434 nucleotides) under Rhodomicrobium vannielii. RNAcentral describes it as "bacterial SSU rRNA". It matches the Rfam family "Bacterial small subunit ribosomal RNA", at positions 469 to 903 of the family's 1533-position model. The record is from RNAcentral. Lineage: Bacteria; Pseudomonadati; Pseudomonadota; Alphaproteobacteria; Hyphomicrobiales; Hyphomicrobiaceae.